Molecule: ribosomal RNA, 251 nt
Filed under: uncultured bacterium
Lineage: Bacteria
Description: partial 16S ribosomal RNA
Rfam family: Bacterial small subunit ribosomal RNA
Source: RNAcentral
UUGGGGGCAACUCCAAACUAGUGGCAAACGGGUGAGUAAUGCAGAGGAACCUCCCUAACAGUAAGGAAUAAUUUUGGGAAACCAAAACUAAUACCAUAUAUUACCGACCUAGUCGGGAAAGAUACGUCGCUGUUAGAUGGGCCUCUGUCAGAUUAGCUAGUUGGUGAGGUAAAGGCUCACCAAGGCGACGACGGGUAGCCGGCCUGAGAGGGCGACCGGCCACACUGGGACUGAGACACGGCCCAGACUCC